CCUACGGGUGGCAGCAGUGGGGGAUAUUGCACAAUGGGGGAAACCCUGAUGCAGCGACGCCGCGUGUAGGAAGACGGUCCUCUGGAUUGUAAACUACUGUCCCCAGGGACGAAGAUGACGGUACCUGGGGAGGAAGCUCCGGCUAACUACGUGCCAGCAGCCGCGGUAAUACGUAGGGAGCGAGCGUUGUCCGGAAUUACUGGGUGAAAUGGGAGCGUAGGCGGGGAUGCAAGUUGGGUGUUAAAUCAACCGGCUCAACUGGUAGUCGCACUCAAAACUGCAGCGCUUGAGUGAAGUAGAGGCAGGCAGAAUUCCUAGUGUAGCGGUGAAAUGCGUAGAUAUUAGGAGGAACACCAGUGGCGAAGGCGGCCUGCUGGGCUUUUACUGACGCUGAGGCUCGAAAGUGUGGGGAGCAAACAGGAUUAGAUACCCCUGUAGUC
This 440-nucleotide ribosomal RNA is filed under the name uncultured bacterium. RNAcentral's name for it is "partial 16S ribosomal RNA". It matches the Rfam family "Bacterial small subunit ribosomal RNA", at positions 338 to 795 of the family's 1533-position model. The record is from RNAcentral.